Molecule: non-coding RNA, 2170 nt
Organism: Sus scrofa (pig)
Lineage: Eukaryota; Metazoa; Chordata; Mammalia; Artiodactyla; Suidae
Source: RefSeq, a predicted model, not a curated record
GCAUAUGAGGAGCUUAGAAGUUGCCAUUUCAUCCUAACGACAACAACAACAAAGCUGAACACACUAAAAAAAUCAACACCUCUACUUAGAUCCAUCAGAGAAGUGAGAUCCCAGGGUAAACCUCUGCUCCAUAAAUUGGAGAAACAUACAGUUUCCAGAUCGGAACCAGUUUUUGGACUCAGAAUACAUUGAAGAAGAGGCCAGAUCUCCAGAAGGAAGGAUCCCAUAAUACCACAGCAGGAAAACUUACAGGCCAGUCUCUUUCUCAGAGUCUUCAUCCCAGAGACCUAACCUGAGGCAGGCAGUCUAGUCAUGGUUUCAACACAAUAGUUCCUUCAAGCUCCUGUCUUACGGGAUGGCUCUGCUCGAACCUGCUCUGAAGACCUUGAUGCCAUGAUCGCUCUGGCCUCCCCGCUCCUCAGAGGAAAAGGGCAAGUAUCAGGACACUCUCAGCAGACCUUGACCUAGGCUUGGGCGAUGGCCCCUGUAUCUGUCUAGGCUGACCUGGGGCUGGGGCCUCUCUGUCCCUGCCACAACCCCACUUCACAGAAAAGAAGACUGAGACCCAAGAGUCCUACAUGCCAUGUCUCUUACUUGUGUAGUCCAUGUAACGAUGUGGGUGGGUCCAGAUAAGGAGCUUCUCAAUCUAGAACAAUCGGCUUUAUGCAUUCAACACAAAUAGAAGCUUGUUCAAAAGCCCAGGCUGGCACACAGUACAGUAUAUGCUUGGUCCAUGCAGCCCCUGCCCUCUACUUCCAAUCGUGCAGACCUUGAAUUUCCAAGCUUAUAUGUGUAUAGACAACCAGGAAGUAACCCGGGAGUGAGAGGAGUAUGGGCUUGGGCCCGGAUUCCAGGGCCAGUCUUGCUCAUUUCGGGCUGGGUGGCAGGCCAGAUGGGUGGUUCCAAUCUGAGACUCCACAGACAGGACAGUUGUGAGGUUCAUCGAGAAUGCCUGGACAGCACCUUACAACCUCCAGGCCCAAACGGAGCUGCCCUGACUGCCAAGGACAAGCCAACAGGCCUCUUCUACUCCCCAGGCUGCCUCAGAAAGAAGGUACCAGUGCUCUGGGCUUUGCAGUAUGCAGUCCCCGUGGGAAGCUAAUCACCAGCAGGUUGGAUGAAUUUGGGGAAUCAGUCAAUGCCACGUGAGCCACCACCCAGGAUCCCAUUUAGCUGAGGACACUGAGGAUGCACAUUUCCUGUAAGCAGAGGCACCACAUGAUGCCCCCUGAUGUGGGGACUCAGCCUCUAGCCUCAUCCCCAGCCAUGGCCACAUUUUCAGUCAUCACAGGGUAGAAAACCAAGGAGAAAAUUCACCUGCCGUCCCACCACCCAAAUCAUCAUCCCGGUUCCCUUCCAGCUCUUGGCUCAUAGGGAGUCAUCCCAGCAUUGAUGCCAUUCUGAAUCUUUCGAAGGUGGUUUGCCAUGUUGCCAUCACUUCAUAUCCAUCGUUUCAUAUCAUGGACUGACAUACUGGCUAUUUGUAUGGAUGAUGCUUCUCUCCUUCUAUCCCAGGGGGUGCCCAAGGCCAGGCCCAGUCAGCCAGGAGUCUGAGCUAUGCCUCUGUGCCUAGGUGUCCAGCCCAGAGCUCUGACUUUCCAUCAUGCCAGCCUCUCCUUAGGCCCUCAUGUGGAAGUGCUAGUAAGCUCCCAGGGAACUGUGGGCUCAGGCCUGCCUCGGUCUCCAGAGCAGAGUCUACAUGGCCCUCUCACCUGGUUCCAGGCCAGCAGCCUCCCCAAUACCACUGUGCGCAUCCGAGCCUAACUGGAAGGAAAAGUAGAGCACAUGGAAAAUCUAAAUGGCACUUACUGCAGGUCAUGACUUCAUGGGCCAGGGCUGAAGGCCGUCAGGGGGAUGAGAGCAGUUCCUCUUUGUGGUAUGGGUGCCUUCCCACCUGUAUUUAUUUCUAACUUUGUUUCCCAGGAGAGGCACAGGAGCUCCUCUGUCAACCUCAGUUUCCCUAGAGUUGAGCCAGCUGCUCUGAAGUCCCUUGCUUGAUAAAGACCCUAAACCGAGGCUGUGGUCUGGCCUGUGGGGACUGGACUGUGCACUUUCUCUGGGCUGAAAUGUGCCUCGUCCCCUGGUCUUGAACAAGCUGAACCUGAGUCACCAGGCCACCCUCCAUGUUCUGAGAUAAUUUGGCAACUUCACUCAGUCGUACUUGUUGACU